GGAAGAUAGAGCGUUGAGUUUGUGCUGCGCACCUGCCUUCGGGUGGGGCGACAGCAAAACCAGCCGGUCCGAACCACGGCGCGAGCCGCGGGGAGGUCGACUGGAUGGAUAUGUAAGAACACUGAUUCUAGGGAGACCCGCAAGGGUCACCCCGAGCAUCAGGUUCAAAUUCUUUACAUGGAGAGUUUGAUCCUGGCUCAGAGCGAACGUUAGCGGCGGGCUUAACACAUGCAAGUCGAGCGAGAAAGGGGCUUCGGCCCUGAGUACAGCGGCGGACGGGUGAAUAACACGUAGGUAACCUUCCUUUCAGCGGGGGACAACGGUCCGAAAGGACCGCUAAUACCGCAUACGUUCCCUGGGACCUCGGUCCUGGGGAGGAAAGGCCCGCAAGGGCCACUGGAUGAGGGGGCCUGCGUAGCAUCAGCUAGUUGGUGGGGUAAUGGCCUACCAAGGCGAAGACGCUUAGCUGGUCUGAGAGGAUGAUCAGCCACACUGGGACUGAGACACGGCCCAGACUCCUACGGGAGGCAGCAGG
This 535-nucleotide ribosomal RNA is filed under the name uncultured bacterium. Its description in RNAcentral is "bacterial SSU rRNA". The stretch from base 175 to 535 matches the Rfam family "Bacterial small subunit ribosomal RNA", at positions 1 to 355 of the family's 1533-position model. The record is from RNAcentral.